GACGAACGCUGGCGGCGUGCUUAACACAUGCAAGUCGAACGGAAAGGCCCUGCUUUUGUGGGGUGCUCGAGUGGCGAACGGGUGAGUAACACGUGAGUAACCUGCCCUUGACUUUGGGAUAACUUCAGGAAACUGGGGCUAUUCCGGGUUGGGGGCUCCGGCGGAUGGGGGGGGGUGGGAAGGUUCGGCGGGUGGGGAUGGACUCGCGGCUUAUCAGCUUGUUGGUGGGGUAGUGGCUUACCAAGGCUUUGACGGGUAGCCGGCCUGAGAGGGUGACCGGCCACAUUGGGACUGAGAUACGGCCCAGACUCCUACGGGAGGCAGCAGUGGGGAAUAUUGCACAAUGGGCGGAAGCCUGAUGCAGCAACGCCGCGUGCGGGAUGACGGCCUUCGGGUUGUAAACCGCUUUCGCCUGUGACGAAGCGUGAGUGACGGUAAUGGGUAAAGAAGCACCGGCUAACUACGUG
Molecule: ribosomal RNA, 467 nt
Filed under: uncultured bacterium
Lineage: Bacteria
Description: partial 16S ribosomal RNA
Rfam family: Bacterial small subunit ribosomal RNA
Source: RNAcentral